RNAcentral lists this ribosomal RNA (720 nucleotides) under uncultured Candidatus Scalindua sp. RNAcentral's name for it is "bacterial SSU rRNA". It matches the Rfam family "Bacterial small subunit ribosomal RNA", at positions 565 to 1274 of the family's 1533-position model. The record is from RNAcentral. Lineage: Bacteria; Pseudomonadati; Planctomycetota; Candidatus Brocadiia; Candidatus Brocadiales; Candidatus Scalinduaceae.
GAGCACGUAGGUGGGUUUGUAAGUCAGAUGUGAAAGCCUUCUGUUCAACGGAAGAAUUGCAUCUGAAACUACAAACCUUGAGUGUAGGAGGGGAGAAUGGAACUUCUGGUGGAGCGGUGAAAUGCGUAGAUAUCAGAAGGAACGCCGGCGGCGAAAGCGAUUCUCUGGCCUAUUACUGACACUGAGUGUGCGAAAGCUAGGGGAGCAAACGGGAUUAGAUACCCCGGUAGUCCUAGCCGUAAACGAUGGGCACUAAGUAGAGGGAAUUACCGAUGUUCUCUCUGCCGUAGCUAACGCAUUAAGUGCCCCGCCUGGGGAGUACGGCCGCAAGGCUAAAACUCAAAAGAAUUGACGGGGGCUCGCACAAGCGGUGGAGCAUGUGGCUUAAUUCGAUGCAACGCGAAAAACCUUACCGGGGCUUGACAUGGUAGAAGUAGGAACCCGAAAGGGGAACGAAUGGUAUCCAGUCCAUAGCUAUUACAGGUGUUGCAUGGCUGUCGUCAGCUCGUGUCGUGAGACGUUGGGUUAAGUCCCCUAACGAGCGAAACCCAUGUUUUUAGUUACCAGCGGGUUGUGCCGGGUACUCUAGAAAGACUGCCGUCGUCAAGACGGAGGAAGGUGGGGAUGACGUCAAGUCAUCAUGGCCCUUAUGCCCCGGGCUGCACACGUGCUACAAUGGUCGGUACAAACGGAAGCGAAGCCGAGAGGUGAAGCGAAUCC